This 239-nucleotide ribosomal RNA is filed under the name uncultured bacterium. RNAcentral describes it as "partial 16S ribosomal RNA". It matches the Rfam family "Bacterial small subunit ribosomal RNA", at positions 92 to 334 of the family's 1533-position model. The record is from RNAcentral.
CGAGUGGCGGACGGGUGAGUAAUGUCUGGGAAACUGCCCGAUGGAGGGGGAUAACUACUGGAAACGGUAGCUAAUACCGCAUAAUGUCUACGGACCAAAGCGGGGGACCUCCGGGCCUCGCGCCAUCAGAUGAACCCAUAUGGGAUUAGCUUGUAGGUAAGGUAACGGCUUACCUAGGCGACGAUCCCUAGCUGGUCUGAGAGGAUGACCAGCCACACUGGAACUGAGACACGGUCCAG